GAUGAACGCUAGCUACAGGCUUAACACAUGCAAGUCGAGGGGAAACGGCAUCGAAAGCUUGCUUUUGAUGGGCGUCGACCGGCGCACGGGGGAGUAACGCGUAUCCAACCUGCCCAUCACUUGGGAAUAACCUUGCGAAAGUAAGACUAAUGCCCAAUGACAUCCCACGAAGGCAUCCGAAUGGGAUGAAAGAUUUAUCGGUUAUGGAUGGGGAUGCGUCUGAUUAGCUUGUUGGCGGGGUGACGGCACACCAAGGCAACGAUCAGUAGGGGAUCUGAGAGGAAGGCCCCCCACAUUGGAAACGAGGUACGGUCCCAAACGGUACGGGAGGGAGCAGUGAGGUACAGUGGUCACUGGGGGAGAGCCUGAAACAGCCAAGUAGCGUGCAGGAGGACGGCCCUAGGGGUUGUAAACUGCUUUUAUAAGGGAAUAAUGUGGGUAACGUGUGACUUUUUGCAUGUACCUUAUGAAUAAGGCCCGGCUAAUUCCGUG
This 492-nucleotide ribosomal RNA is filed under the name uncultured bacterium. RNAcentral describes it as "partial 16S ribosomal RNA". It matches the Rfam family "Bacterial small subunit ribosomal RNA", at positions 28 to 507 of the family's 1533-position model. The record is from RNAcentral.